RNAcentral lists this ribosomal RNA (301 nucleotides) under uncultured bacterium. RNAcentral's name for it is "partial 16S ribosomal RNA". It matches the Rfam family "Bacterial small subunit ribosomal RNA", at positions 509 to 807 of the family's 1533-position model. The record is from RNAcentral.
CAGCAGCCACGGUAAUACCGAGGGUGCGAGCGUUAAUCGGAUUUACUGGGCGUAAAGCGUGCGUAGGCGGCUUCUUAAGUCGGAUGUGAAAUCCCUGAGCUUAACUUAGGAAUUGCAUUCGAUACUGGGAAGCUAGAGUAUGGGAGAGGAUGGUAGAAUUCCAGGUGUAGCGGUGAAAUGCGUAGAGAUCUGGAGGAAUACCGAUGGCGAAGGCAGCCAUCUGGCCUAAUACUGACGCUGAGGUACGAAAGCAUGGGGAGCAAACAGGAUUAGAUACCCGCGUAGUCCCUGUCUCUUAUAC